AAGUCGUAACAAGGUUUCCGUAGGUGAACCUGCGGAAGGAUCAUUAACAAAUAUCCCAACCAACCCACGUCAGUGAACUGUUACCCCAAACGCUUUGGGUGUGCCCCGCGCUUAAGCACCUCAGUCAGCAAUGCAUGAGGGGAUUUAGUCGGACCACCUCUUUUUUUACGUUGAAAUACCCUUUACUGAGACUUUAAACUAAAAUUAAAGACAACUUUUAGCAACGGAUCUCUAGGCUCUC
This 241-nucleotide unclassified non-coding RNA is filed under the name fungal sp. Its description in RNAcentral is "partial internal transcribed spacer region". The stretch from base 1 to 46 matches the Rfam family "Eukaryotic small subunit ribosomal RNA", at positions 1786 to 1831 of the family's 1831-position model. The record is from RNAcentral. Lineage: Eukaryota; Fungi.